GAAGAAAACUCCGCACGAUUCAUUUUUUAUGGAAAAAAAAAACAACCAAAAAAAAACAUUCCCGCAUGGGUAGAAUAUAUUUUAAGACUCACCAAGAUCGUCGAACCAGUGAUCAGCAUUGUUAAUGAACCGAAAAAAAAAACCAUCUCGAUCUCAAAAUCGUAAAAUUGAUGGCAAAUGAAUUUCUCACUGAACAUUAUUACACGUAUUAUAGAGAUCGUAUAACGCAAUUGCGUCAAACCUAAUCUUGAUCUGAAUUAUAAUUGUUAUCGUCGUUAAUUAGUUAUGAAGUAAAAUGUGGAGAAAUCGAGUUCAUCGGCUUGGAUGUAAGAAAGAAAAUUGGAAAAAUAAUUAAAUAAUUAACCAAAUGAAUACAUAAGGUUCCCGUACACAUCGCAGAGGCUAAUACGUGUGUACUCCACAUGAAUUAAUUUCCGGUGUGACACGAGACCGUGUUUGGUAAGCAAAUUUAAUUUAAUUGACGGACAAGCAGCGCGCAUCAACACGAUGCAAUGAAUAAUCCAAUCGCAUGAUAGCUGGAUGUAGAUGCGUAACGUAGGUAAUCCACGAACUAAUUCAUUAACUCAUCCUCAUUCGCGACGUGUGCAUAUCUUGUGAUUUUUUUUCUCUCCUUCAUUCGGUCCUCUACGUUUUGUCAUCGGCCAUUUGUAAGCUAAUGUCAGACGAGUCCUCGCUAUCACGUUUUCCCCAACAGUUUCAUUUGAAUAAAUAAUUUAUUUAUUAAUUUUCCUUUUUUUUUUUCAUUCGUUUAAUUGGUAUUAUCGAUUGUGGUUCAGCCGAGAAAAUAGAGGAAUCGAACGUAGUAAACGAAUAUCGUGUUACGAAUUCCGGCUUUCGCUACACGAGUUUCCAAAAAAAAAAAGAAUAAAAGUUGACGGUAACGUGGUCGGGGUAAGGUGCAGACGAGGGCUGCGCGAAGAACGAUACCGCGGAGUCCUGGAGAGACGAGAGAGAAGGCAGAGACAGGGUAGAAGGAAAAUGAGAGAGAUUUUAUGUGAAAGCAAAAGAGACAAAAGGUGAAACGAGGAGUGUAUUUGAAAAUGAAGGGAGAGGAGACAAUUGUAACUCACGUUGGACGAUACCUCAGAAAAAUAUACACGAACUCAAUUCAUUCCGCAGCGGUAAAUCCGUACAAAUCAAAAAAGAUUUUACAUUUCAGAGGUGUACAUUUGAUCCGAACGCGGUAUUACCACAUCGACAAAGUUUCGGGGUAAAACUUGAGCUGGAAAACUCGCGACGUUAACUGAAAUAAAGAAUAACCAAAACCGCAGAGAAGCUUGACCCUGUCAAGGUCUCGCAAAAGGGAAUGAAAAUGUGAAAAAAGUAAAAGUUGAAAACGAGCAGAGACCGAGAGAAAGAAAAAAAAAAACGACGACAACAACGAAAUAUCAUGUACAAAAUCUCUCGAUUUUGCACCGGGGACCGCGGUCGUUAUUCGUUUAUAAUUUGCGCGUGUAACGACCUCAGUAGCGCAGGGGCGGAAAAAAGAAAGAAAAUAAAAUAAAAUAAAAUACAACACGAAAAAA
This is a long non-coding RNA of Athalia rosae (coleseed sawfly), 1547 nucleotides long. RefSeq lists it as uncharacterized. NCBI's taxonomy places the organism in Eukaryota, Metazoa, Arthropoda, Insecta, Hymenoptera, Athaliidae. The record is from RefSeq and is a predicted model, not a curated record. The transcript is spliced from 2 exons.